This is a long non-coding RNA of Phascolarctos cinereus (koala), 654 nucleotides long. RefSeq lists it as uncharacterized. The record is from RefSeq and is a predicted model, not a curated record. NCBI's taxonomy places the organism in Eukaryota, Metazoa, Chordata, Mammalia, Diprotodontia, Phascolarctidae.
UGUGGAUCGUGGCGCCCACCCGCUUGCUCAGAAUAAGCUGAAUGAGCUGCAUCAGGAUGCACCAGCCUGGCUGGUAACUGGAGCACAUUUCAUACACAUGGAAGAUAACAAUAGGUACCAGAUUUGGAAGGCUGGAACUACUCUGGGACAAGAUACAAAGGAGGAAGUAGAAGAGCAAAAGGGGGAACGUCAUGAAAAAAAAAACCCACCUUGGAUUGGAAUUUAGAAGAACUUGGUUCUGGUCUGGUUUAUAUCAACUUGAAGUGUGACCUCAAUUGAUCCAGAAGGGGCUGAGAUAGAUGACUAUCUGAGACAAAGACACAAUUCUACCAUGGACCAAAUUUCCAAUUGAUUUGGUAAAGACUUACCCAGCUUUUAGACAAACAAACAUUGCUGAGGCCAAACAGGCUGGAGUGAUAGAAGACAGAAGAUAUCAAGAUUCCAGCAGCUGUGUCUGAUACCAGGUAUUCAAACAGAAGAUCUGGUUGGGGAAUCCAGCAGCCUGGCAUCCAGUUAUGGCUCUACCACUAAAGAGCUACAUGACUUGUCAACAAGUAUUUAUGAAGUGCCUGAAAGUGAGUUGCCAGGCAGUGGGCAAGGAAGGUACUGGGGAACACAAAUAUAAAAGUGAAGCAGUUUUUUCUUUGAAAGGGA